This 232-nucleotide ribosomal RNA is filed under the name uncultured bacterium. Its description in RNAcentral is "partial 16S ribosomal RNA". It matches the Rfam family "Bacterial small subunit ribosomal RNA", at positions 15 to 237 of the family's 1533-position model. The record is from RNAcentral.
GAUCAUGCUCAGGAUGAACGCUAGCGGCAGGCCUAACACAUGCAAGUCGAGGGGCAGCGAAGAGGUAGCAAUACCUUUGCCGGCGACCGGCGCACGGGUGAGUAACACGUAUGCAAUCCACCUGUAACAGGGGGAUAACCCGGAGAAAUCCGGACUAAUACCCCAUAAUAUGGGCGCUCCGCAUGGAGAGCCCAUUAAAGAGAGCAAUUUUGGUUACAGACGAGCAUGCGCU